This 75-nucleotide antisense RNA is filed under the name Saccharothrix australiensis. RNAcentral's name for it is "ASpks TB sRNA". It matches the Rfam family "ASpks TB sRNA". Lineage: Bacteria; Bacillati; Actinomycetota; Actinomycetes; Pseudonocardiales; Pseudonocardiaceae. The record is from Rfam by way of RNAcentral.
CUUCACCGACCCCAGCCACAGCGGCCGGUCCGCCGGGCGCUCCUGCCCGUAGGUCGCCAGCAGGGCCUGCGCCUC